AUACAUAGCCAAGAUUUGUUCAGUUGAUUCUACUACCGGAUGUUGUUACGUAUCAUGUGCCAAGUGUUCCAAGAAGCUCCAACGAGAAAUUUUUCAACUUUCACUAGCACUGCAUUUUUAAGAAAUGCUGUUGGAGUUGUCAGAUGGGAAUAUACACGCUUUUUAAGGUACCAUGUUGAGCUGCUAACCACCCACGACUCGCAAUGGUUGGAACAAGAGGACUAUCAUAGCACACGCUGUCUAUUCAUUGGUUCAUUUUUUGGUGUCGAAACAUUUGAAUUGGGCUCAGAUAUGAUCAAGAUUAGCCAGAUGAUUGUAGAUUAGUGGAAACUAAAAGAGAAGAGAGGAUAUGUAGGAUUGUCACAGAAGAUGAUGCUACCAUCAAAUGGCUCUUUGGCAGUGAUAGAAAGCUCUGCUACCACCACCAUUAAUUCGGGUCAACCCAAGAAACAGAAUCCGAUACUGCAACUGGCUAUAUUCAAUCAGCAAAAGUGAAUCAAUGUCAGUUUUCAUCCAAAUGAUGUAUUUGAUCUAUCACCACUUAUCGCAGUGGUGACUCACUGAGACUAAUGAAAGUUGUUGGAGCACGGUGGAGAAGUGGUGGCACUGUAAUGGUGAGUGAUGGCCAUAACCGCAGAUUGAGUCACCAUGAAGC
Long non-coding RNA from Raphanus sativus (radish), 655 nucleotides. RefSeq lists it as uncharacterized. The transcript is spliced from 3 exons. The record is from RefSeq and is a predicted model, not a curated record. Lineage: Eukaryota; Viridiplantae; Streptophyta; Magnoliopsida; Brassicales; Brassicaceae.